UACGGGGGGGGCAAGCGUUGUUCGGAAUUACUGGGCGUAAAGGGCUCGUAGGUGGCCAACUAAGUCGGACGUGAAAUCCCUCAGCUUAACUGGGGAACUGCGUCCGAUACUGGAUGGCUCGAGUUUGGGAGAGGGAUGCGGAAUUCCAGGUGUAGCGGUGAAAUGCGUAGAUAUCGGGAGGAACACCGGUGGCGAAGGCGGUUCUCUGGGCCUUACCUGACGCUGAGGAGCGAAAGCGUGGGGAGCGAACAGG
RNAcentral lists this ribosomal RNA (253 nucleotides) under uncultured bacterium. Its description in RNAcentral is "partial 16S ribosomal RNA". It matches the Rfam family "Bacterial small subunit ribosomal RNA", at positions 524 to 776 of the family's 1533-position model. The record is from RNAcentral.